AUACGUAUGUCGCAAGCGUUAUCCGGAAUUAUUGGGCGUAAAGCGAGUCUAGGCGGCUUGUUAAGUCAGAUGUGAAAAUGCGGGGCUCAACUCCGUAUUGCGUUUGAAACUAGCAGGCUAGAGUACUGGAGAGGUGGGCGGAACUACAAGUGUAGAGGUGAAAUUCGUAGAUAUUUGUAGGAAUGCCGAUAGUGAAGACAGCUCACUGGACAGAUACUGACGCUAAAGCUCGAAAGCGUGGGGAGCGAACAGGAUUAGAAACCCGAGUAGUCC
Molecule: ribosomal RNA, 273 nt
Filed under: uncultured bacterium
Lineage: Bacteria
Description: partial 16S ribosomal RNA
Rfam family: Bacterial small subunit ribosomal RNA
Source: RNAcentral